This 357-nucleotide ribosomal RNA is filed under the name Triticum aestivum (bread wheat). RNAcentral describes it as "partial small subunit ribosomal RNA". The record is from RNAcentral. Lineage: Eukaryota; Viridiplantae; Streptophyta; Magnoliopsida; Poales; Poaceae.
AUGAUUAAAGGAGAAGAUUGUUCUUUUACCAAACAUAUGCAGAUCAAAUCACGUCUUAUAAUAAGAAGAAAUAUUUCUCGGUAUCAAUCCCCUUGCCCCUCAUUCUUUGAGAAUUAGAAGGAUCCUUUUCGAGUUUCCAUUUCUUCAUUUGUAAUCUGGGCUCUUCUAUCUUUGACUUAUUUUUUUGGCUUUAUUCUUUAUUUAUUUCAUUUCGAUUUUUCCCUCUUCCUCCAUCCCUCAUUGUACAACAAUUUAAUUUGGAAAAGGGAUGUAGCGCAGCUUGGUAGCGCGAGCGAAUUCUCGAUAUUCCUUUUUAUUUCUCAUCAAACGAAUGGCAUCUUCUUCUGGAAAUCCUAG